Molecule: ribosomal RNA, 107 nt
Filed under: Paenibacillus sp. P32E
Lineage: Bacteria; Bacillati; Bacillota; Bacilli; Caryophanales; Paenibacillaceae
Also listed under: 1 other name
Description: partial 23S ribosomal RNA
Rfam family: Bacterial large subunit ribosomal RNA
Source: RNAcentral
CCCAGUAUGUAAGACCCCUUGAAGACGACGAGGUAGAUAGGUUGGAGGUGGAAGUGCAGCAAUGCAUGGAGCUGACCAAUACUAAUCGGUCGAGGGCUUAUCCAAAU